This is a small nuclear RNA of Peromyscus maniculatus bairdii (prairie deer mouse), 161 nucleotides long. Its record names the gene U1. It matches the Rfam family "U1 spliceosomal RNA". From Rfam's summary of the family: U1 is a small nuclear RNA (snRNA) component of the spliceosome (involved in pre-mRNA splicing). NCBI's taxonomy places the organism in Eukaryota, Metazoa, Chordata, Mammalia, Rodentia, Cricetidae. The record is from Ensembl.
AUACUUAACCUGGUAGGGGAAAUACCAUGAUCAUGAGGGUGGGUUUCCCAGAACAAGGCUUAUCCAUUGCACCUCAGUUGUGCUGACCCCUGCUAUUUCCUCAAAUGUGGGAAACUCUACCGAAUAACUUGGUAGGGAGACAACAUUUGUGCUCUCCCUGA